Molecule: non-coding RNA, 95 nt
Organism: Mobula hypostoma (lesser devil ray)
Lineage: Eukaryota; Metazoa; Chordata; Chondrichthyes; Myliobatiformes; Myliobatidae
Source: the annotation of a RefSeq genome assembly
GACGAGGUGGCCGAGAGGUGAAGGCGAUGGACUGCUAAUCCAUUGUGCUCUGCACGCAUGGGUUCGAAUCAUGGGUUCGAAUCCCAUCCUCGUCG